UUGCAUAAUUAUGAGGAAAUGAACUCAACCACUGGAAAGAGCAACUCAAAGUCAGUACUGUAGGCAUACAUGCAAUAUUUGACCACAUUUGGACAUAAAUACAGUACGAUUAAUACUGAGCUUUAACGAAUUACUGUGAAAUGUAUGGAGAUUUGAGGUUUUAGGACGUCCGUCCCCAAAUACAAUGUAUCUUAAUAUCUGAGUACCCAAUUUCCCAAAUUUUCCCAUUUGUAUUGAUCUAUAAAAUUAAUGUCGAUAGCAUGCCAAGCUGGGUUACCUUUUUUGCGAUAUGUAAAACUAACUCCGUAAUUUGCGGAUUGUCAUUGUCAUUGAUCUUUUCAAAUAUA
Molecule: non-coding RNA, 347 nt
Organism: Paramuricea clavata
Lineage: Eukaryota; Metazoa; Cnidaria; Anthozoa; Malacalcyonacea; Plexauridae
Source: the annotation of a GenBank genome assembly